GUGUCAGCCGCCGCGGUAAUACGGAGGGUGCGAGCGUUGUCCGGAAUCACUGGGCGUAAAGGGCGCGUAGGCGGCUUCCUAAGGGGGCGGUGAAAGCCCGGGGCUCAACCCCGGGUCGGCCGUGCCGACUGGGAGGCUGGAGCACUGUAGAGGCGGGUGGAAUUCCGGGUGUAGCGGUGGAAUGCGUAGAGAUCCGGAAGAACACCGGUGGCGAAGGCGGCCCGCUGGGCAGUGGCUGACGCUGAGGCGCGACAGCGUGGGGAGCAAACAGGAUUAGAAACCCCCGUAGUCC
This 292-nucleotide ribosomal RNA is filed under the name uncultured bacterium. RNAcentral describes it as "partial 16S ribosomal RNA". It matches the Rfam family "Bacterial small subunit ribosomal RNA", at positions 505 to 796 of the family's 1533-position model. The record is from RNAcentral.